AAAGAUUUAGAAACAGAAAAUGAAAACCUAAACAACUCUUUAACAGAAAAAACCAAAAUUAUUGAAGAGAACAAAGUUGUAAUAACAAAUUUUCAAACAAAAAUGAAUACAUUAGUUGAAACAACUAAAAAUAAAUAUAUUACACAAAUAGAAGAACAAGACAAAAAAAUUCAUGAAUUGCAAAACAAUUUAGAAAAGCAAGUUAAAGAUAGUAGUCAAAUGGAAAAAGAACUAAAAAAUAAAAUAAAAGAGCUAGAGGAUGAACAAAAUAUACUCAAACAAGAGAGCCAAAAUAAUGAAACUUUGCAAAAUAAAAUUAAUAUAUAUAAGGGAAAAUUAGACAGCCUCUUAACAGUUCAAAGUGUAAAUAAAGAGUUAGAAGACAAACUCAAAGUAAUUCAAAACUGCUCAAAAAUUACAUAUAUAUAUAUAUAUAUAUAUGUAUGCAUAUGUAUUUAUAACUUAUAAAACUUCCUAACACAUGUUUAUCUUAAUCUAUCACAGAACAAUACGCAGAAAAUGAUAAAUAUGGAACAAGAAAUAGAAAAAUUGAAAGCUGAGACAACCAAGUCGAAACAAUAUGAAAAAAAAAAUUGAAGAAAUAAAUGCACAACUAGAGAAAGCAAAGACAGAAUGUGAAAAACUUAAAACAGACAACGAAGAGAAAAACAAGACUUUGCAAAAAUUAACGAUUGAAUUAGAUAAUAAAACUCAUUCCUACAAUUUAUUAAAAAAAGAACAAAAUAUGAAUAACUUGAACAUUUUUAGCGAAUUAAGCAAUGUAAACCAAUCAGAAGAAUUAAUCAGACUUCAAAAAGAAAAUGAAAAUUUGAGAAAUAAAAUGGAAUCCGAUGCAAAUAAAGAAUCAAACAGAGUGAAAGAACUUGAAAAAGAACUCGAGGAUUUGAAAAUAAUAAACACCAAUUUAAAGAAUGAAGUAUUAAAAGGCACAAAUAAUAACAACGUUCAAGCUAAUCCACAGCAGGAAAAAUAUGAAGCACAAAAUGAAAAAAUCAUCAAAUUAGAAGCUGAGUUAUUAAUGGAAAAAAAAAAUAGUACAAUUAUUGAAGAAACGACUAAAAAUAAAUUAAAGAAGGAAUUUAAUGCUGCAUUGCAAAUUUUUAAAGAACAAUUACAAAUUAGAGAAAAAGAAACCGAAUAUUAUAAAGAAAUAAUGAAAACACAAAUCGACACUUUUAAAGACGAACAAAAAUUAUUAAGCGAUAUUAUUCACAGCUUAGGACUCAAAUACAAACAACUACAAACUUAUAAUCUUUGUUUAAAGAAUGAAAUUACAGGAAUUAAAUUAAGAGCCGAAGCUUGUACAAAUAUCGACAAAAAAUGAAAUGCCCGUUUUAAACAUAUAUUAGUCCUUAUACUUAUUUUUCUUCUGUUUUUAAAUUAUUUUACCUUUUUUAUAAAUUAAAAAAUCAGUAAAGUAACACCAUGAAUAAAAUAAAUAUUUCAUAUUUGUACA
RNAcentral lists this long non-coding RNA (1477 nucleotides) under Piliocolobus tephrosceles (Ugandan red Colobus). Its description in RNAcentral is "lncRNA (ENSPTEG00000010903.1)". The record is from RNAcentral. Lineage: Eukaryota; Metazoa; Chordata; Mammalia; Primates; Cercopithecidae.